This 808-nucleotide long non-coding RNA is filed under the name Malus domestica (apple). RNAcentral's name for it is "long non-coding RNA (MDOM_LNC012746)". Lineage: Eukaryota; Viridiplantae; Streptophyta; Magnoliopsida; Rosales; Rosaceae. The record is from RNAcentral.
UCAAGCCCUGACGGCCCUUGAAGAAAACACCAUCGUUCAUCAUCCGUUCAUCCAAGAUCAAGCCCCAACGGCCCUUUGGAUCAACAACGUCGACAAAUCCACACAUCCAACCGUUCUUCAAGAUCAAGCCUAAAAGCCCUUGAAGAUCCGUUCAUCACUGUUCUUCAAGAUCAAGCCCAAAAGCCCUUGGAGAUCCGUUCGUCACUGUUCUUCAAAGAUCAAGCCCAAAAGCCCCUUUGAAGAUCCGCUCAAAUCCACCUUUAAGAUCAAGUCCACGGCCCUUGAAGAACGUUCAUCCUUAGAUCAAGCCUAACGGCCCUUUGGAUCAAUCACACAUCCACAAAUCAAUACCUUACGGAGAUCGAAUCAGAGGAUCAAAUUUGAGAGUGAUUGUAACCCAAAAUCAUCAAAUACAAAUAUUUGUUUGUGCACGUUGUUCUUGUCUCUUUCGUUUCAGGAAUUUUCUGUGUUCACAAAUUGGCACGCCCGGUGGGAUAAUCUCUGCCUCUCAUCUCUUUCUCCGUUCAAGAAAUUCAAGCGCACUUCCAAAAUUAAUGGCAUCAAGGAAGGCUCAAACUGUUCCCGCAACCGGCGCAAAGAACAAGAGCGUCCUCGUCGCAACUGGUGUCACUUUGGGCAUCACAACUCGAAGCAUGGCAAGAGCUACUUCUGCCGCCUCUUUCACCUCUACAUCAACUCUGCCAAGGGAACAAAAGCACCCAAGGCACGAGCCUUUGAUCUGUUGGAAAUGUGCCCUAAAGCCAAUCAUGUGAUGAUACUUUACGGACAUUUCACAUGUUAAACUAAU